RNAcentral lists this ribosomal RNA (205 nucleotides) under uncultured eukaryote. RNAcentral describes it as "partial 18S ribosomal RNA". The record is from RNAcentral.
UCGUGGAGUGAUCUGUCUGCUUAAUUGCGUUUCAGAUAUAUAAGGGUAAGCUAUAUGUGAGGUAGAGUGUUUACACUAUACUAAGCAGGCUGCCCUUUGAAAGCAACGAACGUGACCUCAACUCAAUGUUGCAUCCAUUAUAUGUGGUGCUAUACUUUGAGGACUGCCAGAGUUGUCAACUCGGAGGAAGGUUGAGGCAAUAACA